This 238-nucleotide ribosomal RNA is filed under the name uncultured Glomeromycotina. Its description in RNAcentral is "partial 18S ribosomal RNA". The stretch from base 41 to 238 matches the Rfam family "Eukaryotic small subunit ribosomal RNA", at positions 686 to 887 of the family's 1831-position model. Lineage: Eukaryota; Fungi; Glomeromycota. The record is from RNAcentral.
AGAUUCUUCCGUUGGUCAGGCUAACAAGUCUGUACUAGCGUGUAGAAUCUCUACCUUCUGGGGAACCAUCAUGUUAUUAAUUUAGCGUGGUGGGAAACCAGGACCUUUACCUUGAAGAAAUUAGAGUGUUCAAAGCAGGCUUACGUCUGAAUGCAUUAGCAUGGAAUAAUAAAAUAGGACGGUGGUCCUGUUUUGUUGGUUUCUGAAUCACCGUAAUGAUUAAUAGGGAUAGUUGGGC